UAGCAUGUGCUGUUCUCCCUGUCAUGGCCUGGAAAAUACUUCCAGACCCUGGAGUCUUUGCUUUUUGUCUUCUCCCAGUGUUGGUACCACAUGGCAUUGACAGCUGAGCCCCACUUCGCUGGCGUGAACGCCUUGUGAUCUCCGGAGAUCUGAAUGAAAAUGUGUCUCAAGUUGGUCCAAUCUAAACAAGCAGCUGGCCUCCAGGUGUGUGCUUGUUUGGGCAGCGGACCUCAGAGCAGAGAGGUUGUGGCUGAACUCCGAGCCAGGGGUGCAGUGAGCUCGCUCUCUGCCUUCUGCGUGACCGCACAGAAACCAGAGAAUGAAGAUCAAUCCUGCGGAAUUUUACAUGAGUAGAGAGUUUACUAUUAUCCCUUCUUGUGUUUAUGGUUUCCAAGACCUGGGCAAGACUUUUCUAGAAGGCCAGACCGGGCACGCAAGGGAGCCUGUGGGAAUCUACACCUUGCAGAACACGUUAUGGGUCUUUUAAAAAAAUAAUAAACUGAAGCAUAAAAGAGA
Long non-coding RNA from Canis lupus familiaris (dog), 516 nucleotides. RefSeq lists it as uncharacterized. The transcript has 3 exons. NCBI's taxonomy places the organism in Eukaryota, Metazoa, Chordata, Mammalia, Carnivora, Canidae. The record is from RefSeq and is a predicted model, not a curated record.